RNAcentral lists this ribosomal RNA (797 nucleotides) under Sarea resinae. RNAcentral's name for it is "partial large subunit ribosomal RNA". It matches the Rfam family "Eukaryotic large subunit ribosomal RNA", at positions 15 to 829 of the family's 3401-position model. Lineage: Eukaryota; Fungi; Ascomycota; Sareomycetes; Sareales; Zythiaceae. The record is from RNAcentral.
GUAGGGAUACCCGCUGAACUUAAGCAUAUCAAUAAGCGGAGGAAAAGAAACCAACAGGGAUUGCCUCAGUAACGGCGAGUGAAGCGGCAAUAGCUCAAAUUUGAAAUCUGGCUCUUUCAGGGUCCGAGUUGUAAUUUGUAGAGGAUGCUUCGGGUGUGGCUCCGGUCUAAGUUCCUUGGAACAGGACGUCAUAGAGGGUGAGAAUCCCGUAUGUGACUGGAAGCCUUCGUCCAUGUGAAGCUCCUUCGACGAGUCGAGUUGUUUGGGAAUGCAGCUCAAAAUGGGUGGUAAAUUUCAUCUAAAGCUAAAUACUGGCCAGAGACCGAUAGCGCACAAGUAGAGUGAUCGAAAGAUGAAAAGCACUUUGGAAAGAGAGUUAAAAAGUACGUGAAAUUGUUGAAAGGGAAGCGCUUGCAACCAGACUUGCUCGCGGUUGCUCAGCCGGUGUUCUCACCGGUGCACUCUUCCGCGAUCAGGCCAGCAUCGGUUUGGGCGGCUGGAUAAAGGCUCUGGGAAUGUGGCUCCUCUCGGGGAGUGUUAUAGCCCAGGGUGCAAUGCAGCCCGCCCGGAUCGAGGACCGCGCUUCGGCUAGGAUGCUGGCGUAAUGGUUGUAAGCGACCCGUCUUGAAACACGGACCAAGGAGUCUAACAUCUAUGCGAGUGUUUGGGUGUCAAACCCAUGCGCGUAAUGAAAGUGAACGGAGGUGAGAACCCUUAAGGGUGCAUCAUCGACCGAUCCUGAUGUCUUCGGAUGGAUUUGAGUAAGAGCAUAGCUGUUGGGACCCGAAAGAUGGUGA